RNAcentral lists this ribosomal RNA (253 nucleotides) under uncultured bacterium. RNAcentral describes it as "partial 16S ribosomal RNA". It matches the Rfam family "Bacterial small subunit ribosomal RNA", at positions 524 to 776 of the family's 1533-position model. The record is from RNAcentral.
UACAGAGGGGGCUAGCGUUAUUCGGAAUUAUUGGGCGUAAAGGGCGCGUAGGCGGCCAUGCGUGUCUUCCGUGAAAUCCCUCGGCUUAACUGAGGACGUGCGGAAGAAACUGCAAGGCUCGAGUCCGGGAGAGGGGGGUGGAAUUCCCAGUGUAGCGGUGAAAUGCGUAGAUAUUGGGAGGAACACCAGUGGCGAAGGCGGCGACCUGGGCCAAUAUUGACGCUGAGGUGCGAAAGCGUGGGGAGCAAACAGG